Tripterygium wilfordii is the source of this 1964-nucleotide RNA transcript. It is a transcript of the gene named protein WHAT'S THIS FACTOR 9, mitochondrial, with no coding region annotated. NCBI's taxonomy places the organism in Eukaryota, Viridiplantae, Streptophyta, Magnoliopsida, Celastrales, Celastraceae. The transcript is spliced from 3 exons. The record is from RefSeq and is a predicted model, not a curated record.
UCUUAAUGGCGGGAGGGCUUUUCUUGAUUAAACCCGUUAACCCGUUAGGGUUCCAACCAUUUUUCAAUAGGCGAAGAUGAAAUUUAGGGCACACAAUAGGUCGUUAUACUCCAAGCUGAAACUACUGGUGUCGCACAACAUAGCUUCUCCUCUCACCCAUCGUUCUCAACAAUACAGCUCAAUAGCGAAGGUGAGGCUGAAAUGGGUGAAGAACAGGAGCCUGGACCAUGUCAUUGAUACAGAAACAGAUCUCAAGGCAGCUUGCCUCCUCAAGGACGCUAUCAAGCGCUCUCCAACGGGUUAUCUCACUGCCAAGUCAUUUGCUGAUUGGCAAAAGCUUCUCGGCCUAACCGUCCCUGUUCUUCGCUUCAUGCGCAGGUACCCAACCCUUUAUAAAGAAUUUCCGCAUGCCCAAUACGCGAAUUUGCCUUGUUUUGGCUUAACGGAUACUGCAUUAUUACUAGAUUCACAUGAGCAGAGUAUACACCAAAAUUACGCAAAUGAUACUGUGGAAAGGCUUUGUCGAGUGCUAAUGAUGAUGAGAAAUAGGACAGUGCCACUCAAAUCAUUACAUCCUUUGAAAUGGGACCUGGGUUUGCCUGAUAACUUUGAGAAAAAUUUUGUUCCAAAAUACCCAGAUUAUUUUCGAUUUAUUAAGGCUGCUAGUGGGGUUACAUGCUUGCAUCUCAACCAAUGGCGGGAGGAAUUAGCUGUUUCUGCACUGCAGAGAAGUAAUGAGAGUGGUGACAUGGGCAGUGAUUAUCGACAGUUUAAGAGAGGGCAAACAGCUUUGGCUUUCCCUAUGAAUUUUCCGAGGGGCUAUGGGGCGCAAAAGAAGGUGAGAGCAUGGAUGGAGGAGUUUCAGAAGCUUCCAUACAUUUCACCAUAUGAAGAGUCGAGGCAGAUUGACCCAAAUAGUGACCUUAUGGAGAAACGAGUUGUUGGGGUUCUGCAUGAGAUAUUGAGUUUAACGCUUCACAAAAAAACUAAAAGGAACUACUUGAGAAGUUUAAGGGAGGAGUUGAAUCUUCCUCAUAAGUUUACUCGACUUUUUACAAGGUAUCCGGGGAUUUUCUAUCUCUCAUUGAAGUGUAAGACAACUACCGUGGCUCUGAGAGAAGGUUACCAAAGGGGAAAAGUUGUGAACCCACAUCCUCUAGCUCGUCAUAGAGAGAAGUUCUAUCACGUGAUGAGGACUGGGCUAAUUUAUCGAAAUAAAGGUGAAAACAGGAUACCCCAAGAAAUGUUGCUUAAUAAUGUAGAAGAUCAAAUAGGACAAGACGAAUCUGAAGAAGAAGAUAGUGAUGCAAGUGAAAGCUCUUUUGAGGAAAUCUCAGAGCUUGAGGAAAGUUCUGAUGAAGAUUAGAACUUCUCCAAUUUAUCCAACAAAUUGCUGCAUAAAAGGAAAAGAUAUAUAAUCCUCUCCCUUGAGUUAAGGAAGUCUUUAUCAUUGUAGGAGCAGGUUUUACAAUUAGUUUGUUGGGUCAAAGUGACAUAUCAAGACCAUUGCUCAUGAAAUUGUAUUGCAAGGCUGUGAACAUUCCUGCACGAGCGGCCCAGAAUGUGAAAGAUAUGUUGUGAUCAUAGUAGCUUACAGAUCAAGUUUGAUUAUACAUGCAAUAGAAGAGGGAGAGGAUAAAAUGCCAUCAAUAAUCCAUUCACUCCCUUUAUCAUUUUAGGGAAUUAGUGUCUAAUUCAAAAUAAACAACUCUGUGAUUAUCUUUUUCAGUAUAAUUGUGAGUUCAUAACCGCGAAUCAUUAUCGCGGGCAACUGCUCUCGGGGUGAUGACUGAAUGGCAGCUCCAGCGCGUUCAAUUCUUGUGAUAGAACAGUCUGAUAGCCAAAAGCUUGCCUUUCGUUGGGCCCGAUGUUUCCUUUUCUGGAGACUCACUAUCCUGUGUUCAAUUAUAAUCUCAUGUUCGGCUGGAUUGUUAGAAUGAAUGAAUAUUUGUUUCCUCUGGUGA